RNAcentral lists this ribosomal RNA (827 nucleotides) under uncultured Lactobacillus sp. RNAcentral describes it as "bacterial SSU rRNA". It matches the Rfam family "Bacterial small subunit ribosomal RNA", at positions 551 to 1381 of the family's 1533-position model. Lineage: Bacteria; Bacillati; Bacillota; Bacilli; Lactobacillales; Lactobacillaceae. The record is from RNAcentral.
UUAUUGGGCGUAAAGCGAGCGCAGGCGGUUUUUAAGUCUGAUGUGAAAGCCUUCGGCUCAACCGAAGAAGUGCAUCGGAAACUGGGAAACUUGAGUGCAGAAGAGGACAGUGGAACUCCAUGUGUAGCGGUGAAAUGCGUAGAUAUAUGGAAGAACACCAGUGGCGAAGGCGGCUGUCUGGUCUGUAACUGACGCUGAGGCUCGAAAGUAUGGGUAGCAAACAGGAUUAGAUACCCUGGUAGUCCAUACCGUAAACGAUGAAUGCUAAGUGUUGGAGGGUUUCCCCCUUCAGUGCUGCAGCUAACGCAUUAAGCAUUCCGCCUGGGGAGUACGGCCGCAAGGCUGAAACUCAAAGGAAUUGACGGGGGCCCGCACAAGCGGUGGAGCAUGUGGUUUAAUUCGAAGCUACGCGAAGAACCUUACCAGGUCUUGACAUACUAUGCAAAUCUAAGAGAUUAGACGUUCCCUUCGGGGACAUGGAUACAGGUGGUGCAUGGUUGUCGUCAGCUCGUGUCGUGAGAUGUUGGGUUAAGUCCCGCAACGAGCGCAACCCUUAUUAUCAGUUGCCAGCAUUAAGUUGGGCACUCUGGUGAGACUGCCGGUGACAAACCGGAGGAAGGUGGGGAUGACGUCAAAUCAUCAUGCCCCUUAUGACCUGGGCUACACACGUGCUACAAUGGAUGGUACAACGAGUUGCGAACUCGCGAGAGUAAGCUAAUCUCUUAAAGCCAUUCUCAGUUCGGAUUGUAGGCUGCAACUCGCCUACAUGAAGUCGGAAUCGCUAGUAAUCGCGGAUCAGCAUGCCGCGGUGAAUACGUCCCGGGCCU